Silurus meridionalis is the source of this 938-nucleotide long non-coding RNA. RefSeq lists it as uncharacterized. Lineage: Eukaryota; Metazoa; Chordata; Actinopteri; Siluriformes; Siluridae. The record is from RefSeq and is a predicted model, not a curated record. The transcript has 3 exons.
GAUGACACUGAAGGGCAUUGUCCAGCAGAGUGCAGUAUAGGUACAAAAUCCAGACACAUCUGAUGGCUAUUGGAUGCCUGUGAUCACUCUUCGACCAUCUAAUCCCUAGCUCCACAUGUGCCUCAACAGGGGAAGACGGUGCUUUGAUUGUGCUAGGGUGAGAGACAGGGGCAAGGGCAAAGACAGCACAGGGGUCAUUACAGCUACUGUAUUUUCCCUGGAAGAGCCAAUCAUCUUCUUCAUCUUUGUCUCUGCCAAUGAAAAAAUGACCACUGUUGCACCUGAGCUGAAUGUGCCCCUUGAGAUCAUCAUGUGUGUCCAGAUCCAUCAUGAAGUGACCAAAAAAAAGAUCCAUUGCUUACAGGAAACGACCUCUCAGACGAUGGCUAAGCCCGUGGCCUUUUCGCAAACCAAAGGUCUCUUCCUCAUUACCUGUGUUGUGUGCCUGUGAUGCAGCAUUCUUCCUUGAGGAAGAAACAGCGGCAGGGUUUCAAAGUGAUUAGCGUUUUGCCCUGAAGCUGAACAAUAAUUCCUCCAAUUUGUUUCUCUGGACCAGCGAUUACAAGUCUCAUCUCCUGCUGACUUUAUUGACAUGAAAAGGAUUUACAACAAGGCGUGGGUGACAGGAAAAUGACACAGGAACCCACCAAAAUCGUGCCGCAUACACUGACAAGAAACAAAUGAAUAGUGAUUUAUUUUGGAUCAAAGAUGAAAUAGGACGUAAAAAAGAGAGAAAGAGAGAUACCAAAAAGACUAAGCUUGUGCUAUAUAAGCCACUGGUAGAGUCACUUUUCUAGCAGUUUUUUUUUUUUUUGUGUGUAUGUGGUGGUGGUGGGGUGUGUGUGAUAAGGGCAAAAUCAGAAAAUGACAAUAAGCAUCCUGUGAAAUUUUUUGCCUCAAUGCUGACAGUUCUCAUAAAGCUCAGAAAUACACGUCAA